UACGUAGGGUGCAAGCGUUAAUCGGAAUACUGGGCGUAAAGCGUGCGCAGGCGGUGAUGUAAGACAGAUGUGAAAUCCCCGGGCUCAACUUGGGAACUGCAUUUGUGACUGCAUCGCUGGAGUGCGGCAGAGGGGGAUGGAAUUCCGCGUGUAGCAGUGAAAUGCGUAGAUAUGCGGAGGAACACCGAUGGCGAAAGGCAAUCCCCUGGGCCUGCACUGACGCUCAUGCACGAAAGCGUGGGAG
RNAcentral lists this ribosomal RNA (244 nucleotides) under uncultured bacterium. RNAcentral describes it as "partial 16S ribosomal RNA". It matches the Rfam family "Bacterial small subunit ribosomal RNA", at positions 524 to 767 of the family's 1533-position model. The record is from RNAcentral.